AAUGAACGCUGGCGGCAGGCCUAACACAUGCAAGUCGAACGGGUCCUUCGGGACUAGUGGCGGACGGGUGAGUAACGCGUGGGAACAUAACCCAAAGGUACGGAAUAGCCUCGGGAAACUGAGAGUAAUACCGUAUGUGCCCUUCGGGGGAAAGAUGUAUCGCCUUUGGAUUGGCCCGCGUUGGAUUAGGUAGUUGGUGGGGUAAUGGCCUACCAAGCCGACGAUCCAUAGCUGGUUUGAGAGGAUGAUCAGCCACACUGGGACUGAGACACGGCCCAGACUCCUACGGGAGGCAGCAGGUGGGGAAUCUUAGACAAUGGGGGAAACCCUGAUCUAGCCAUGCCGCGUGAUCGAUGAAGGCCUUAGGGUUGUAAAGAUCUUUCAGAUGGGAAGAUAAUGACGGUACCAUCAGAAGAAGCCCCGGCUAACUCCGUG
Molecule: ribosomal RNA, 435 nt
Filed under: uncultured bacterium
Lineage: Bacteria
Description: bacterial SSU rRNA
Rfam family: Bacterial small subunit ribosomal RNA
Source: RNAcentral